This 407-nucleotide ribosomal RNA is filed under the name uncultured bacterium. RNAcentral describes it as "bacterial SSU rRNA". It matches the Rfam family "Bacterial small subunit ribosomal RNA", at positions 30 to 436 of the family's 1533-position model. The record is from RNAcentral.
AUUGAACGCUGGCGGCAGGCCUAACACAUGCAAGUCGAGCGGUAGAGAGGUGCUUGCAUCUCUUGAGAGCGGCGGACGGGUGAGCAAUGCCUAGGAAUCUGCCCUAGUGGUGGGGGAUAACGUUCGGAAACGGACGCUAAUACCGCAUACGUCCUACGGGAGAAAGCGGGGGAUCUUCGGACCUCGCGCCAUUAGAUGAGCCUAGGUCGGAUUAGCUAGUUGGUGAGGUAAUGGCUCACCAAGGCGACGAUCCGUAACUGGUCUGAGAGGAUGAUCAGUCACACUGGAACUGAGACACGGUCCAGACUCCUACGGGAGGCAGCAGUGGGGAAUAUUGGACAAUGGGCGCAAGCCUGAUCCAGCAAUGCCGCGUGCAGGAUGAAGGCCUUCGGUUGUAACGUAGCUUU